This is a long non-coding RNA of Ornithodoros turicata, 303 nucleotides long. RefSeq lists it as uncharacterized. The transcript has 3 exons. The record is from RefSeq and is a predicted model, not a curated record. NCBI's taxonomy places the organism in Eukaryota, Metazoa, Arthropoda, Arachnida, Ixodida, Argasidae.
GAGUAAACGACGGCUACUGGACUAUGUGCCCGGAAGAGAAGAUGUUGCGGUCCUGGCACCUAAUGCUGCUUCUGGCUAUCUUCGUGCCGUCGGCCAUGGGAACCAUCAGCAAGGAGCCCUCCGACCAAAACUGGCCGUGCACCAAAAAAGGUUUAAUAUGUGAUUUGCAUGAAGAUUGCUGCAGUAAACGCUGCACGGUUAAGUACAAGAUCGAUCCUUCGUAUGUGACCCGUUGCGAGUGAAGGACAAAGAAAUCGUUCACCCGCUUUCAACGAGAUUGCUAAUAAAGUCUUCCAACAUUGA